This 467-nucleotide ribosomal RNA is filed under the name uncultured bacterium. RNAcentral's name for it is "partial 16S ribosomal RNA". It matches the Rfam family "Bacterial small subunit ribosomal RNA", at positions 28 to 506 of the family's 1533-position model. The record is from RNAcentral.
GACGAACGCUGGCGGCGUGCUUAACACAUGCAAGUCGAACGGAAAGGCCCUGCUUUUGUGGGGUGCUCGAGUGGCGAACGGGUGAGUAACACGUGAGUAACCUGCCCUUGACUUUGGGAUAACUUCAGGAAACUGGGGCUAAUACCGGAUAGGAGCUCCUGCUGCAUGGUGGGGGUUGGAAAGUUUCGGCGGUUGGGGAUGGACUCGCGGCUUAUCAGCUUGUUGGUGGGGUAGUGGCUUACCAAGGCUUUGACGGGUAGCCGGCCUGAGAGGGUGACCGGCCACGGUGGGAGUGAGAUACGGCCCAGACUCCUAGGGGAGGCAGCAGGGGGGAAUAUGGCAAAAGGGGCGGAGGCCUGAUGCAGAAACGCCGCGGGGGGGAGGACGGCCUUGGGGUUGUAAACCGCUUUCGCCUGGAACGAAGGGGGAGUGACGGUAAUGGGUAAAGAAGCAACGGCUAACUAAGU